This 530-nucleotide ribosomal RNA is filed under the name uncultured bacterium. Its description in RNAcentral is "bacterial SSU rRNA". It matches the Rfam family "Bacterial small subunit ribosomal RNA", at positions 777 to 1304 of the family's 1533-position model. The record is from RNAcentral.
AAUAGAUACCCGGGUAGUCCAUGCCGUAAACGUUGGGCGCUAGAUGUGGGGACCAUUCCACGGUUUCCGUGUCGCAGCUAACGCAUUAAGCGCCCCGCCUGGGGAGUACGGCCGCAAGGCUAAAACUCAAAGGAAUUGACGGGGGCCCGCACAAGCGGCGGAGCAUGCGGAUUAAUUCGAUGCAACGCGAAGAACCUUACCAAGGCUUGACAUAUACGAGAACGCUCUAGAAAUAGAGAACUCUUUGGACACUCGUAUACAGGUGGUGCAUGGUUGUCGUCAGCUCGUGUCGUGAGAUGUUGGGUUAAGUCCCGCAACGAGCGCAACCCUCGUUCUAUGUUGCCAGCGGUUCGGCCGGGAACUCAUAGGAGACUGCCGGGGUCAACUCGGAGGAAGGUGGGGAUGACGUCAAAUCAUCAUGCCCCUUAUGUCUUGGGUCUUCACGCAUGCUACAAUGGCCGGUACAAAGGGCUGCAAUACCGUAAGGUGGAGCGAAUACCCAAAACGCCGGUCUCAGUUCGGAUUGAGGU